GAUGAACGCUGGCGGUGUGCCUAAUACAUGCAAGUCGAACGGGAGGUAGCAAUACCUCUAGUGGCGAACGGGUGAGUAACGCGUUGGUGACCUGCCCCGAAGUGUGGGAUACCAGUUCGAAAGGACUGUUAAUACCGCAUGUGGUUGUGGAGAUUAGAAGCUUUGCAACUAAAGGAUUAUAUUCGCUUCGGGAGGGGCCUGCGUCCCAUCAGCUAGUUGGUAAGGUAACGGCUUACCAAGGCGAUGACGGGUAGGGGACCUGAGAGGGUGAUCCCCCACAAUGGAACUGAAACACGGUCCAUACACCUACGGGUGGCAGCAGUAGGGAAUAUUGCAAAAUGGGCGCAAGCCCGAUGCAGCAACGCCGCGUGGGCGAUGAAGGCCUUCGGGUCGUAAAGCCCUUUUUGAGGGGAUGAGGAAGGACAGUACCCUCAGAAUAAGCCUCGGCUAACUACGUGCCAGCAGCCGCGGUAAAACGUAGGAGGCGAGCGUUAUCCGGAUUUACUGGGCGUAAAGCGCGUGCAGGCGGAUUGGAAAGUUGGAUGUGAAAGCUCCCGGCUUAACUGGGAGAGGUCGUUCAAAACUUCCAGUCUUGAGUGCAGUAGAGGGAAGUGGAAUUCCGGGUGUAGUGGUGAAAUGCGUAGAUAUCCGGAGGAACACCAGUGGCGAAAGCGACUUCCUGGACUGUAACUGACGCUCAGACGCGAAAGCUAGGGUAGCAAACGGGAUUAGAGACCCCGGUAGUCCUAGCUGUAAACGAUGUAGACUUGGCGUAGGAGGGUUUAAAUCCUUCUGUGCCGAAGCAAACGCGAUAAGUCUACCGCCUGGGGACUACGGCCGCAAGGUUA
RNAcentral lists this ribosomal RNA (848 nucleotides) under uncultured bacterium. Its description in RNAcentral is "bacterial SSU rRNA". It matches the Rfam family "Bacterial small subunit ribosomal RNA", at positions 28 to 896 of the family's 1533-position model. The record is from RNAcentral.